CCAGCCUCAGAACUUGAGUUUUAGAGGGAUCAGAGGGAAACGGGGAUUUUGGGGUUGGAGGUGGCCCAAGAGCACCUGAACUUGCCCACAUCUCCAUGUCCAGCCCCAAAAACUGAAUUUUAGUGGGAUCAGAGGGAAAUGGGGAUUUUGGGGUGGGGAGGGAAUUAAAAAUCAUCCCAUUCCAAGGGCGGGGCACUUCCCACUGUCCCAGGAGGCUCCAGCCUGGCCUUGGGACAGGCAGCACCUCCAGAAUUGGAUCUUUGCGGGAUCUCUGGGCUUGGGAUCUUUUCUCCAGCACCAAAUUUCUCUUCCCAAAUCCUCUUCCCGCAGCGCGUCCCUAAGGGAACGAAAGCCAAGCCAGCAGACGGGGGAUCCCCCAAAACCAUUUAUUCCCUGGUCAAGCGUCCGGAGCAGGCGGAUGAUGGGACGGCAGAAAAUGCCACCAUGACCGGCCUGGAACUGGUCUAGAAGGACCUGGGACUGGUCCAGAAGGACCUCAAACUGGACUAGAUGGACCCAGAACUGGCUUAAAGAACACGAAACUGUUUUAAAGGAUAUAAAACUGGUUUAAAGGAUAUAAAACCGGUUUAAAGGAUAUAAAACUGGUUUCAGAACACGAAACUGCCUUAAAAAAUCUGGAAGUGAUUUAAAAGUCUGCAGCUAUUUUAAUGAGUCUGGACCUGGUUCACAAGAAACCACAACUGGUUUAGAUGAAGCUGGAAGUGGUUGAAAAGAUCCAGAACUGGUUGAAAAGACCCGGAAUCGGUUGAAAAGACCCAGAACUGGUUGAAAAGGCCCAGAACUGGUUGAAAAGAUCCAGAACUGGUUGAAAAGACCCAGAACUGGUUGAAAAGACCCAGAACUGGUUGAAAAGACCCGGAACUGGUUGAAAAGAUCCAGAACUGGUUGAAAAGAUCCAGAACUUGUUGAAAAGACCCAGAACUGGUUGAAAAGACCCAGAACUGGUUGAAAAGACCCAGAACUGGUUCAAAAGACCCAGAACUGGUUGAAAAGACCCGGAACUGGUUGAAAAGACCCAGAACUGGUUGAAAAGACCCGGAACUGGUUGAAAAGACCCAGAACUGGUUGAAAAGACCCAGAACUGGUUGAA
RNAcentral lists this long non-coding RNA (1111 nucleotides) under Chloebia gouldiae (Gouldian finch). Its description in RNAcentral is "Erythrura gouldiae (Gouldian finch) lncRNA (ENSEGOG00005010309.1)". Lineage: Eukaryota; Metazoa; Chordata; Aves; Passeriformes; Passeridae. The record is from RNAcentral.